RNAcentral lists this ribosomal RNA (242 nucleotides) under uncultured Leptolinea sp. RNAcentral's name for it is "partial 16S ribosomal RNA". It matches the Rfam family "Bacterial small subunit ribosomal RNA", at positions 1141 to 1381 of the family's 1533-position model. Lineage: Bacteria; Bacillati; Chloroflexota; Anaerolineae; Anaerolineales; Anaerolineaceae. The record is from RNAcentral.
CACGAGUACUGCCGGUAUCAAGCCGGAGGAAGGUGGGAGUGUAUGUCAAGUCAGCAUGGCCUUUAUAUCCUGGGCUACACACACGCUACAAUGGCAGAUACAAUAGGUUGCGAAACCGCGAGGUGGAGCCAAUCCUCAAAGUCUGUCUCAGUUCAGAUUGUAGGCUGCAACUCGCCUGCAUGAAGUUGGAGUUGCUAGUAAACGCAGGUCAGCUAUACUGCGUUGAAUACGUUCCCGGGUUU